Molecule: long non-coding RNA, 820 nt
Organism: Brassica rapa (field mustard)
Lineage: Eukaryota; Viridiplantae; Streptophyta; Magnoliopsida; Brassicales; Brassicaceae
Source: RefSeq, a predicted model, not a curated record
AAUUUUCGAUUGGAGAAAUGGGAGAUCGAGGAAGAGGUAUUCCUAAGAUAUGUAGAUGUGGAGAAGCUGUGGUAAUGAGGACAGCAAAUACUGCUAGAAAUCCUGGACGAUUGUUUCAUUCUUGUCCUCAUGGGAGAGAAGGGGACUGGUUUCACACGUUUAAAUGGACUGAUGUUAGUGUUUAUGAGGAGAUGGAAGAUAUGAUUGAAAAAGUGGAAACCAUUGAAGGUGAUUCAAUGAUGUUUCAAAAGAGACUUAAUAAAUGUGAAAACGAGAUUGAGAAUCUGGAAAUGGAUACCCGUGUGUGCGAAGCUGUGGUUGAGAAGGAGAUCCAAGAAUGCAAAAUGCAGCUCCGGAGCUUGAAGAACAUUCUCGGAUUUGUGUUAGUGAUCAUUCUGUUUUUCAAGUUUAUCUUUUAAGUAUGAGUAUUGUGUUGUGUUUGUAGUUGUAGUAAGACUUAUUGGUGUGUCUCAAUGGUGUUUGUAAGUGUAGUAAAACUAAUGAUGUAUUUGUAGUUUUCUUGUAAAACUGAUGAUUCUCGUGUUCCCUUUUAAUGGUGUUUAUGCUUGAACCUAAGAAACUUUUAAUUAUAUCACAACUCUGAUACGAAGUCGAAAACCAAGCAUUUGGAUUAUAAAUUUGUCAUUACAAUAUUCAUAAAAAACAACAAAUGACAACGACCUAUGGCUAAUGCUUCACUCCACCACAGAAACAACUAAACGAAGCUGCCAAAACCCAAGUUCAAAAAGCUCCAUGCCUCCGUCACAAACCAAAAGUUGAGCUUCAUGACUCCACCACAAACCACCUAAAUAUUUUUUUU